RNAcentral lists this long non-coding RNA (520 nucleotides) under Mytilus galloprovincialis (Mediterranean mussel). Lineage: Eukaryota; Metazoa; Mollusca; Bivalvia; Mytilida; Mytilidae. The record is from RNAcentral.
GUUCUGGAUGAGGGUCCUUUAUAUCUUUAAUUUUCAGACCAUUAACAUUUUCUCUGUUUCUUCAUUUAUAAUGUGUCCUUUACUUUCAAUAAUUUUCAAUAUUCAGUCUAAUUAUAAUUUAGAAGUUGAACCCCAUGAUUCUCAAAUGUUCUUUGUUCUAUUUUUUGCAUUUUUACUCUCCUCUUUCCUUUCUUUAUUUUUUCUCAUUAUUCUGCACUUUAAUUCGUCCAUCAUUCUUUAUUCUUUCCUCCCGAAACGGUUUCCAGACCCUCACUUUAGCAAAUGUACGUGAGUACGCAAACACGGAAUUCUCACCGUUACCAUUUUGUAUACUAUGACGCAAUACUAUGGACGCUCACGAGCUGCGGAUGGAGGUUUCAAAUUUUUUAAACUAACUGCAAGAAUGGACAGAGUCAGAGAUAUAUGGUAUAAACAACUCUGGUUGUUCAAACUGAUGGCCAAACCGAUUAACAAAUAAAUGGAAAUAGAUAACUUGUAGAUUCACUGGAAAAAACCAGGA